CUCAUCUCCAAAUAUGGCUGGGCCAAGACUUUCACACAGGGCUCAGGGACACGAUUUGGGUCCUGAGGAUCCGCUUUAUAGCUGUCUCACUUUAAGAACAGAACUCAGCAUGUGAUGGUCAAUAAAUAUCAUGGCCUUGCUCUAGACGCCUGGAGAAGGAGAUGCUGGUGACUACUCUGCUGGCAAAAGCCAUGUCCCAGAUGGCAUCUGGAGCAAGCACAGUUCCAGGGAACAGGACAUCUGGACGCAGAGGUGGACCUGGAUGGGAGACUGCUAGCCAAGGAAGGCGGCUGGGGUAGAUCCUCCACGAGGCCUCAAAAAGAAGCAGACCCAGCUCUGGACUUCAGACCCCCAAAUGGAACUACAGACUUCUGCCAAAGCCACACUGCCUGUGGAACUCUGCUCUUGCACAAUCCAGGCCCCCAACAUCUCCUCCUGUGUUAUUCUGGCCAUGGGAACAACUGUGAUCCAUGGCAGAGGCUACAUCAGCAAACAUGGAC
Molecule: long non-coding RNA, 500 nt
Filed under: Heterocephalus glaber (naked mole-rat)
Lineage: Eukaryota; Metazoa; Chordata; Mammalia; Rodentia; Bathyergidae
Description: lncRNA (ENSHGLG00100045382.1)
Source: RNAcentral